CUGUUUGGAGGUUCCCGAUCGUUGCAGUGUCGAUUUGCCCUUCGAUUUAUGAUCGUAGGUUCUUUCGAGGCUGUUUGAGUUUGGCGCUUUCUCCCGGUGCUCGAGCUUGGGGGUCCGAACUUUUCAUUGCUUUGAGGAGGUCAAUUUAUCCUCGGUCUAUGUCAGGUUCCCUCUUUGCGACUGAAACAAAGUUCCUUAUGUCUUUGAUGUAGUUUAU
RNAcentral lists this long non-coding RNA (217 nucleotides) under Elaeis guineensis (African oil palm). RNAcentral's name for it is "long non-coding RNA (EGUI_LNC067733)". The record is from RNAcentral. Lineage: Eukaryota; Viridiplantae; Streptophyta; Magnoliopsida; Arecales; Arecaceae.